GUGGAUGAAUAAAAGUUGAAUAAAGAAACAAAAGGAAAAUCAACACAUUGAAUUAGGAAAUUUAUAAGCAUAAUUACUGAUGAAAAUCAGGCAAUCAAUAAUCAUUGGAUCUGGUUCUAGUUUCUGCAGAAUGAGCACUGAUACUAUUCAUAGAACUUGUCAUAAUUUGGAAGCAAAUACUAAUAAUAAAUACUGAUUGAAUAUCUCAUGUAUCAACAAUUAACAGUUACUUUGUGCAAUAUGUUAGAACACAUUUUAAAACUGUACCAAGGUUCGAUGUCCAGAACGAAACUUUG
Molecule: long non-coding RNA, 296 nt
Filed under: Trifolium pratense (red clover)
Lineage: Eukaryota; Viridiplantae; Streptophyta; Magnoliopsida; Fabales; Fabaceae
Description: long non-coding RNA (TPRA_LNC013658)
Source: RNAcentral